CUACGGGCGGCUGCCGUGGGGAAUAUUGCACAAUGGGGGGAACCCUGAUGCAGCAACGCCGCGUGGAGGAUGACACAUUUCGGUGCGUAAACUCCUUUUAUAUAAGAAGAUAAUGACGGUAUUAUAUGAAUAAGCACCGGCUAACUCCGUGCCAGCAGCCGCGGUAAUACGGGGGGUGCAAGCGUUACUCGGAAUCACUGGGCGUAAAGAGCAUGUAGGCUGGUUAGUAAGUUGGAAGUGAAAUCCUAUGGCUUAACCAUAGAACUGCUUCCAAAACUACUAACCUAGAAUAUGGGAGAGGUAGAUGGAAUUUCUGGUGUAGGGGUAAAAUCCGUAGAGAUCAGAAGGAAUACCGAUUGCGAAGGCGAUCUACUAGAACAUUAUUGACGCUGAGACGCGAAAGCGUGGGGAGCAAACAGGAUUAGAUACCCUCGUAGUC
RNAcentral lists this ribosomal RNA (439 nucleotides) under uncultured bacterium. RNAcentral describes it as "partial 16S ribosomal RNA". It matches the Rfam family "Bacterial small subunit ribosomal RNA", at positions 339 to 795 of the family's 1533-position model. The record is from RNAcentral.